RNAcentral lists this ribosomal RNA (119 nucleotides) under Pteropus alecto (black flying fox). The record is from RNAcentral. Lineage: Eukaryota; Metazoa; Chordata; Mammalia; Chiroptera; Pteropodidae. RNAcentral also lists the same sequence under 1 other name.
GUCUACGGCCAUGCCACUCUGAACAAGCCUGAUCCCGUCUGAUCUUGGAAGCUAAGCAGGGUCGGGCCUGGUUAGUACUUGGAUGGGAGACCACCUACGAAGACCAGGUACUGUAGGCA